This 668-nucleotide ribosomal RNA is filed under the name uncultured bacterium. RNAcentral's name for it is "bacterial SSU rRNA". It matches the Rfam family "Bacterial small subunit ribosomal RNA", at positions 56 to 719 of the family's 1533-position model. The record is from RNAcentral.
UGCAGUCGAGCGGGGGAAGGUAGCUUGCUACUGGACCUAGCGGCGGACGGGUGAGUAAUGCUUAGGAAUCUGCCUAUUAGUGGGGGACAACAUUCCGAAAGGAAUGCUAAUACCGCAUACGUCCUACGGGAGAAAGCAGGGGACCUUCGGGCCUUGCGCUAAUAGAUGAGCCUAAGUCGGAUUAGCUAGUUGGUGGGGUAAAGGCCUACCAAGGCGACGAUCUGUAGCGGGUCUGAGAGGAUGAUCCGCCACACUGGGACUGAGACACGGCCCAGACUCCUACGGGAGGCAGCAGUGGGGAAUAUUGGACAAUGGGGGGAACCCUGAUCCAGCCAUGCCGCGUGUGUGAAGAAGGCCUUAUGGUUGUAAAGCACUUUAAGCGAGGAGGAGGCUACUAGUAUUAAUACUACUGGAUAGUGGACGUUACUCGCAGAAUAAGCACCGGCUAACUCUGUGCCAGCAGCCGCGGUAAUACAGAGGGUGCGAGCGUUAAUCGGAUUUACUGGGCGUAAAGCGUGCGUAGGCGGCCAUUUAAGUCAAAUGUGAAAUCCCCGAGCUUAACUUGGGAAUUGCAUUCGAUACUGGAUGGCUAGAGUAUGGGAGAGGAUGGUAGAAUUCCAGGUGUAGCGGUGAAAUGCGUAGAGAUCUGGAGGAAUACCGAUGGCGAA